This 96-nucleotide transfer RNA is filed under the name Micromonospora phaseoli. RNAcentral's name for it is "tRNA-Pro". Lineage: Bacteria; Bacillati; Actinomycetota; Actinomycetes; Micromonosporales; Micromonosporaceae. The record is from RNAcentral.
GGCGGCGGGGGGCGCGGAGGCCGGCCCGGCGGCCUGGGGUGUCGGCUCGGCCUGGGGUGUCGGCUCGGGCGUCGGCUCGGGCUCGGGCGUCGGCUC